Non-coding RNA from Oryza punctata, 198 nucleotides. The record is from Rfam. Lineage: Eukaryota; Viridiplantae; Streptophyta; Magnoliopsida; Poales; Poaceae.
UAGUUUUCUCCUAAGUCAAACUUCUCUAACUUUGACCAAGUUUAUAGAAAAAUGCACUAACAUUCAUAAUACCAAAUAAACACUAUCAAGGCAUAUUUUGUGGUGGAUGUACUGAAACUAAUAUGGUGUUGUAGAUGUUAGUGCGUUUUUCUAUAAACUUGGUCAAAGUUAGAGAAGUUUGACUUAGGACAAAACUAA